AUCUUUGGCUCUCCUUCUCCUUUAUACCAGAACGCCGUAUCCUCUCUCUCUUUCCCUACCCUACCAAACAAAGCCCCAUCUCCUUGCUCAUAUUUCUACCUUUGUAUCUUUAUUUGAUUUAGGGGGUCGCCUGCCCCGCAAACCACACACCGAAGGGCUUCCCCAGCAGGAGCCGCCUCCGCCUAACCGACGGUCCCCCAGAUUCAGACGACUUUUAUAGGUUUGAUUGUGUUUUUAUUUUAAUUUCUAUGUCUGAAACUAGAUCUACUCUGUUCUAAGUGCUCAGUGCUAGAUCUAGGUUUGAUUGUGUUUCUAUUUAAUUUUCAAGUCUGAAAACUGUUUUUAUCUACUCUGUAUUUUAAUUUAUCUAGCUCUUUUAUUUUAAUUUUCAAGUCUGAAACCAGAGCUACCCUGUUUUUAUCUACUUUGUUCUCGGUUCUA
Non-coding RNA from Corylus avellana, 441 nucleotides. Lineage: Eukaryota; Viridiplantae; Streptophyta; Magnoliopsida; Fagales; Betulaceae. The record is from RefSeq and is a predicted model, not a curated record.